AUUGAACGCUGGCGGCAUGCCUUACACAUGCAAGUCGAACGGCAGCACGGGAGCAAUCCUGGUGGCGAGUGGCGAACGGGUGAGUAAUAUAUCGGAACGUGCCCGGUCGUGGGGAUAACGUAGCGAAAGCUACGCUAAUACCGCAUACGAUCUACGGAUGAAAGCGGGGGAUCGCAAGACCUCGCGCGAUUGGAGCGGCCGAUAUCAGAUUAGGUAGUUGGUGAGGUAAAGGCUCACCAAGCCGACGAUCUGUAGCUGGUCUGAGAGGACGACCAGCCACACUGGGACUGAGACACGGCCCAGACUCCUACGGGAGGCAGCAGUGGGGAAUUUUGGACAAUAGGGCGGC
This 349-nucleotide ribosomal RNA is filed under the name uncultured bacterium. RNAcentral's name for it is "bacterial SSU rRNA". It matches the Rfam family "Bacterial small subunit ribosomal RNA", at positions 30 to 380 of the family's 1533-position model. The record is from RNAcentral.